GCGAAGCCAGAGGAAACACUGGUGGAGGCCCGCAGCGGUCCUGACGUGCAAAUCGGUCGUCCGACCUGGGUAUAGGGGCGAAAGACUAAUCGAACCAUCUAGUAGCUGGUUCCCUCUGAAGUUUCCCCCAGGAUUCCUGGCGCUCGGAGCCUCGCAGUUUUAUCCGGUAAAGCGAAUAACUAGAGGUCUUGGGACCGAAACGGUCUCAAUCUAUUCUCAAACUUUAAAUGGGUAAGAAGCCCGGCUCGCUGGCUUGGAGCCGGGCGUGGAUUGCGAGCCGCCAGGUGGGCCACUUUUGGUAAGCAGAACUGGCGCUGCGGGAUGAACCAAACGACGGGUUCAGG
Nematolebias whitei (Rio pearlfish) is the source of this 344-nucleotide long non-coding RNA. RefSeq lists it as uncharacterized. The record is from RefSeq and is a predicted model, not a curated record. Lineage: Eukaryota; Metazoa; Chordata; Actinopteri; Cyprinodontiformes; Rivulidae. The transcript is spliced from 3 exons.